Molecule: unclassified non-coding RNA, 343 nt
Filed under: soil metagenome
Description: partial contains 5.8S ribosomal RNA, internal transcribed spacer 2, and large subunit ribosomal RNA
Rfam family: 5.8S ribosomal RNA (bases 1-120)
Source: RNAcentral
GAUGAAGAACGUAGCGAAAUGCGAUAAGUAAUGUGAAUUGCAGAAUUCAGUGAAUCAUCGAAUCUUUGAACGCACAUUGCGCCCGCCAGCACUCUGGCGGGCAUGCCUGUUCGAGCGUCAUUUCAACCAUCAAGCCCCCAGGGGCUUGUGCUGGGGCCCUGCGGCUGCCCGCAGGCCCUGAAAACCAGUGGCGGGCUCGCUAGUCACACCGAGCGCAGUAGCACAUCUCGCUCAGGGCGUGCGGCGGGCUCCUGCCGUGAAACCCCCCACUGUAACCCCAAAGGUUGACCUCGGAUCAGGUAGGAAUACCCGCUGAACUUAAGCAUAUCAAUAAGCGGAGGGA